RNAcentral lists this ribosomal RNA (253 nucleotides) under uncultured bacterium. RNAcentral describes it as "partial 16S ribosomal RNA". It matches the Rfam family "Bacterial small subunit ribosomal RNA", at positions 524 to 776 of the family's 1533-position model. The record is from RNAcentral.
UACGUAGGGACCGAGCGUUGUCCGGAUUCAUUGGGCGUAAAGAGCUCGUAGGCGGCUGUUCAAGUCGAACGUGAAAACUCGGAGCUCAACUCCGAGCCUGCGUUCGAUACUGGACGGCUAGAGUCUGGUAGGGGGAUCUGGAAUUCCUGGUGUAGCGGUGGAAUGCGCAGAUAUCGGGAGGAACACCUGUGGCGAAAGCGGCGCACUGGACCAUAACUGACGCUGAGGCGCGAAAGCUAGGGGAGCAAACAGG